Molecule: ribosomal RNA, 460 nt
Filed under: uncultured bacterium
Lineage: Bacteria
Description: partial 16S ribosomal RNA
Rfam family: Bacterial small subunit ribosomal RNA
Source: RNAcentral
CCUACGGGUGGCAGCAGUGAGGAAUAUUGGUCAAUGGACGAGAGUCUGAACCAGCCAAGUAGCGUGAAGGAUGACUGCCCUAUGGGUUGUAAACUUCUUUUAUAUGGGAAUAAAAUGUUCCACGUGUGGGAUUUUGUAUGUACCAUAUGAAUAAGGAUCGGCUAACUCCGUGCCAGCAGCCGCGGUAAUACGGAGGAUCCGAGCGUUAUCCGGAUUUAUUGGGUUUAAAGGGAGCGUAGGUUGAUUGUUAAGUCAGUUGUGAAAGUUUGGGGCUCAACCGUAAAAUUGCAGUUGAAACUGGCAGUCUUGAGUACAGUAGAGGUGGGCGGAAUGCGUGGUGUAGCGGUGAAAUGCUUAGAUAUCACGAAGAACUCCGAUUGCGAAGGCAGUUCACUGGACUGCAACUGACACUGAGGCUCGAAAGUGUGGGUAUCAAACAGGAUUAGAUACCCUAGUAGUC